GACGAACGCUGGCGGCGUGCUUAACACAUGCAAGUCGAACGGAAAGGCCCUGCUUUUGUGGGGUGCUCGAGUGGCGAACGGGUGAGUAACACGUGAGUAACCUGCCCUUGACUUUGGGAUAACUUCAGGAAACUGGGGCUAAUACCGGAUAGGAGCUCCUGCUGCAUGGUGGGGGUUGGAAAGUUUCGGCGGUUGGGGAUGGACUCGCGGCUUAUCAGCUUGUUGGUGGGGUAGUGGCCUACCAAGGCUUUGACGGGUAGCCGGCCUGAGAGGGUGACCGGCCACAUUGGGACUGAGAUACGGCCCAGACUCCUACGGGAGGCAGCAGUGGGGAAUAUUGCACAAUGGGCGGAAGCCUGAUGCAGCAACGCCGCGUGCGGGAUGACGGCCUUCGGGUUGUAAACCGCUUUCGCCUGUGGCGAAGCGUGAGUGACGGUAAUGGGUAAAGAAGCACCGGCUAACUACGUG
Molecule: ribosomal RNA, 468 nt
Filed under: uncultured bacterium
Lineage: Bacteria
Description: partial 16S ribosomal RNA
Rfam family: Bacterial small subunit ribosomal RNA
Source: RNAcentral